This 68-nucleotide transfer RNA is filed under the name unidentified. Its description in RNAcentral is "Dimorphopterus gibbus tRNA-Asn". The record is from RNAcentral.
UUAAUUGAAGCCAAAAUAGAGGCUUUCCAUUGUUAAUGGAAUAAUUGAUUAAAUAUAAUCCAAUUAAA